ACGCACGCUGGCGGCGUGCCUAAUACAUGCAAGUAGAACGCUGAAGGAGGAGCUUGCUUCUCCGGAUGAGUUGCGAACGGGUGAGUAACGCGUAGGUAACCUGCCUGGUAGCGGGGGAUAACUAUUGGAAACGAUAGCUAAUACCGCAUAACUGUAGAUAUUGCAUGAUAUCUGCUUGAAAGGUGCAAUUGCAUCACUACCAGAUGGACCUGCGUUGUAUUAGCUAGUUGGUGAGGUAACGGCUCACCAAGGCGACGAUACAUAGCCGACCUGAGAGGGUGAUCGGCCACACUGGGACUGAGACACGGCCCAGACUCCUACGGGAGGCAGCAGUAGGGAAUCUUCGGCAAUGGACGGAAGUCUGACCGAGCAACGCCGCGUGAGUGAAGAAGGUUUUCGGAUCGUAAAGCUCUGUUGUAAGAGAAGAACGAGUGUGAGAGUGGAAAGUUCACACUGUGACGGUAUCUUACCAGAAAGGGCGGCUAACUACGUG
This 493-nucleotide ribosomal RNA is filed under the name uncultured bacterium. RNAcentral describes it as "partial 16S ribosomal RNA". It matches the Rfam family "Bacterial small subunit ribosomal RNA", at positions 29 to 507 of the family's 1533-position model. The record is from RNAcentral.